UACGUAGGGGACUAGCGUUGUCCGGAUUUAUUGGGCGUAAAGAGCGUGUAGGCGGCCAUGUAGGUCCGGUGUGAAAACUCGAGGCUUAACCUCGAGAUGUCAUCGGAAACCAUUUGGCUAGAGUCCGGAAGAGGAGAGUGUAAUUCCUGGUGUAGCGGUGAAAUGCGCAGAUAUCAGGAAGAACACCAAUGGCGAAAGCAGCUCUCUGGGACGGUACUGACGCUGAGACGCGAAAGCGUGGGGAGCGAACAGG
This 253-nucleotide ribosomal RNA is filed under the name uncultured bacterium. Its description in RNAcentral is "partial 16S ribosomal RNA". It matches the Rfam family "Bacterial small subunit ribosomal RNA", at positions 524 to 776 of the family's 1533-position model. The record is from RNAcentral.